AUAUGUAUAAAAAUACGUUUUAUACGCAAGGGAUUACAGUUCUAUUUGAAUAGGUUAUUUUUUAAUGGCUUAGUUUACUUUUGAAUGUAUAAAAUUAUGUAUAUUGACGCAAUUUGUGUUAUUUUGGAAAUGGAUUCAAAUAAAUCAAUUCUUAUACUAAUUAUCUAGAAAACAACCCAAAUGCUAACUAAAAAAUAUUCUGGUAGGGUAAAUAAAUGAAUAAAGAAACCGAACAAAAACUAGCCGCGUCAUUCAC
Listeria monocytogenes EGD-e is the source of this 256-nucleotide small RNA. It matches the Rfam family "Listeria sRNA rliA". Lineage: Bacteria; Bacillati; Bacillota; Bacilli; Caryophanales; Listeriaceae. The record is from Rfam.